UGUAGAUGUAGAUGUUAAUGAUUUUUUUUUAAUAUGUAAAGUUUUUUGUUUUUGUUAUAUUACACGCACUCUAGCGGCAUGACAAUUGUACACAUACAUACUUAUAUAAUAUAACAUUAUACUUAGAGAUUUGGUAUAUAAUGUUAGACCAACACCAUUUAGUGAUACAAUUAAUAUGUAAUUAUAUACAUAUCUAUGUAUGUGCUUAUGUAUUGCUUAUUUACAAAUUAUUAGUGCAGCUGAAAUGUUUUUUCUCUCAUGCGAUAUGGUGUAACAAAAAAAAAACGGAAACUCUAGAGCAGUGGACUAUUUAUUGCCUUACAUUACGUGUAUGCAGAGAGACAAUUAAAGAGUUGGACUUGAAAUAGCAAAAGUGUGCAAAGAAAAAAACACUGCAGUCGAGAUGUUUCUUAAAAGUUCAUUUGCAGUAAAUUUUCUUGUUGCAUAUUGAAAAAACAUUUUUUUUUAGUUAAUUUCAAUCAAUUCACAUUCAGGUAGUGAGAAGUUGAAAACUGUUCGUAUCCUUAAUGUCAACAGUAUUUAAGGAAAAAUAUUUUGGAGUGUCACAAUUUGUGUGGCUGCGACUGAAGUGUUAUUCAGCAGAAAGAGUUAUGAACGCCACACGGCUUUCGCGCCGUAUUACUCAGCUUUUUCUUUAUAAAAUGCAGAAUUUGCAUCAUACCAACAGCCAUAAUCACUUUGGUGAAAGCUCCGUUUUUUCAAAAUUGAAACAUCUCUGCUAUGUACAGUGUGUCUGCGGAUUAUAUACAAACUGCUAAAUCAAAAAGAAAAAUAUAAGUAUAAAUCGCUCUGGGUAACACACAAGAAGUUGUAAAGAGAAAAAUGCAAAUACAAAAGGAAGAAUUGGAAUUGCACAUGAAUGGGGAGAAACCUAAGAAGCCUUGCUUACUGCAUUCUGCUGCAGUUUUAGUUUCACCUAUAGCUGUUGUUUCCCUAUUGCAGUUACCGUUGCAAUACCCUUUAGCCAUGCUGUUUGUGGGGUGACGAAAGGUCACAUGAAAAUUUUUGCUGAACCCAAGCCAUGUCUUUUUCAAUUUAUACUGCUUUUUACUCAACUUCAAUUGCAACUCUUUGCAGUGUUGCAGUGACAAGGAGAUUUUUUUUGUUUUUUUUUGUUUAUUUUUUUGUUUUUGCUUUUGUUUUUUUUUUUUGCGCAAACAAAAUUGCUUAACUAAACGAUCCAUGAACCAUUUGUUGGCCAACAGUGAGUGUUUAGUUCCACUUGGUAAUAAUGAUACGCCUCUUUAGCCUCCUCCACCUGCCACGCACACACACACACACGCACACACACACACACACACAUACACACCCUAUCAAGCUGGGUAGUGAUUGCUUGCAGUUGUUAUAAUGCAUAGUUUUUCCUGCUUCUUCUGCUUUUUAUUUUUACUUACAUGUAUGUUUGUAUUUGUGCAUGUAUGUAUGUAUGUAUGUAUGUAUGUAUGCAUGUGUAUUGCAGUGGCAGCGCUGAAGGUCAGCGUACGUUAAGCGGCUUUUACUUGAAUAUUAUUUAUUUAUACAUAUGCAAUUUGUAAUGUAAUAUAAUAUGUGCAUAUGUACGCAUGUAAGUACAUAUAUGUAUAUGUCUGUAUGUAUGCAUGGCAGUGCAAUAACAUUUUUGAAGUCAUGCUAAGUUAACUUUGCUAUUGCAUUUACUAUGGUUUUUAAUUUUGUCAAAGUGUUGCAGUGUCGUUUUCCGCAUAUAUAUAUAUUCCUAUUUUAUAUACAUACGUACGCAUAUAGCGCAUUGAUAUACGCCAGAUGUAUGUAUGUAUGUCGGUGUAAGAGGCAAGGCUUGUGAUGAGCUUCAGCAAAGAAUUGUAAAAAACAGGCUGGUUUACAUAUAUAAGGACAUAUAUAUAUAUAUACAAUAAAUGUAUAUGCAUAUAGUUUCGUAUUUGUAUAUAUACAUAUAUAUGCUUAAAUGUAGGUGUUUAUGUUUUACUUUUUACUUCAUAUCAACUCUUAGGCGAAGGGAAUGCACUAGUUAGUGUUUUAUUUACAUAUAUAUAUAUAAGUGAUGUGUAUAUUGUAUAUUAGUAUAUAUACAUAUACCUACAAGAGUUAGUAGUGGCAUGAAAUUUAGUUAGAGUUGUGACUGCAUGCAAAGUUAAUAGAGCAAAUAAAACAGACAUUUGUAAGAAGCAUGCAUGUACAUACAUAUAUACCAUAUGUACAUACGUAUAUUCAUGUAAAUAUGUUUUUGAUUUAAAUAUACAUAUGCAUAUGCGUAUCUACAUAACAUUCGUUCAUUCAUAUCAAAUCAACACGCACAAAAGCUUGCACACUUGGGGGCGUUUACAUGCCAGCAACUGACUACAUAUAUAUAUACUACACAUAAAUAUAGUUAUAUGUACAUAUGUAUGUAUAUAUGUGUGUGUAUAUUUUUUUAAGUGCAAUAAAAAACGUUCUUUGAGCAUAAUUUGGAAAAUGUUCCAUUAUUUUUUUCUAAUAUUUUGUUGGUUAAUUUUUUUUUUAAUUCAUAAUUUUUUU
Molecule: long non-coding RNA, 2511 nt
Filed under: Ceratitis capitata (Mediterranean fruit fly)
Lineage: Eukaryota; Metazoa; Arthropoda; Insecta; Diptera; Tephritidae
Description: uncharacterized LOC111591753
Source: RNAcentral